RNAcentral lists this long non-coding RNA (483 nucleotides) under Erythranthe guttata (spotted monkey flower). RNAcentral's name for it is "long non-coding RNA (EGUT_LNC000277)". Lineage: Eukaryota; Viridiplantae; Streptophyta; Magnoliopsida; Lamiales; Phrymaceae. The record is from RNAcentral.
UCGAGGACGAUGUAAGAGACGCGAACCUGUAUGCAGAGAGCGCGGAGGCGUUAUUACAUUUCAUUCUCUCUCUAGAUCUCUCUCUCCUCAUUUGUUCUCGGUAAGAAUCAAUGGCGAACGGUCGCCGCUCCUUGCUCUCUUCACUUUUUCUAGCAAUCAUGGAGAAACAAUCAACGAAAUGAAAUUAACAGAAUCAUCAAAAGUAAAGGAGAUUUAGUGAAGCUUUAACAGAAAACCCUAAAAAAAAUCAAAAAUUAACCUAGAGUGAGACGAUGAGGCGGUGAAUGACGACGAUGUAAGAGAGGCGAACCUGUCUACAGCGAGAGUGGAGGCGGCGAGGCGCUAUUACGUUUCCUUCUCUCUCUAGAUCUCUCUCUCUCUCUCUUUCUCCUCCUUUCUUCUCGGUAAGAAUCAAUGGAGAUCGGUCGCCGCUCCUUGCUUUCUUCACCUUUUCUAGCCAACCGCCCUUUUCAUUUCUUCCGC